This 646-nucleotide ribosomal RNA is filed under the name uncultured Pseudonocardineae bacterium. Its description in RNAcentral is "bacterial SSU rRNA". It matches the Rfam family "Bacterial small subunit ribosomal RNA", at positions 95 to 760 of the family's 1533-position model. The record is from RNAcentral. Lineage: Bacteria; Bacillati; Actinomycetota; Actinomycetes; Pseudonocardiales.
GUGGCGAACGGGUGAGUAACACGUGGGUAAUCUGCCCUGUACUCUGGGAUAAGCCUGGGAAACUGGGUCUAAUACCGGAUAUGACCUUUCACCGCAUGGUGGGGGGUGGAAAGUUCCGGCGGUAUGGGAUGAACCCGCGGCCUAUCAGCUUGUUGGUGGGGUAAUGGCCUACCAAGGCGACGACGGGUAGCCGGCCUGAGAGGGUGACCGGCCACACUGGGACUGAGACACGGCCCAGACUCCUACGGGAGGCAGCAGUGGGGAAUCUUAGACAAUGGGGGCAACCCUGAUCUAGCCAUGCCGCGUGAGUGAUGAAGGCCUUAGGGUUGUAAAGCUCUUUCAGCUGGGAAGAUAAUGACGGUACCAGCAGAAGAAGCCCCGGCUAACUCCGUGCCAGCAGCCGCGGUAAUACGGAGGGGGCUAGCGUUGUUCGGAAUUAUUGGGCGUAAAGAGCUCGUAGGCGGUUUGUCGCGUCGGCUGUGAAAUCUGGAGGCUUAACCUUCAGCGUGCAGUCGAUACGGGCAGACUUGAGUUCGGCAGGGGAGACUGGAAUUCCUGGUGUAGCGGUGAAAUGCGCAGAUAUCAGGAGGAACACCGGUGGCGAAGGCGGGUCUCUGGGCCGAUACUGACGCUGAGGAGCGAAAGC